Molecule: long non-coding RNA, 10157 nt
Organism: Gadus macrocephalus (Pacific cod)
Lineage: Eukaryota; Metazoa; Chordata; Actinopteri; Gadiformes; Gadidae
Exons: 2
Source: RefSeq, a predicted model, not a curated record
CUCACACUCAAGCACACACAAACACAAUCACACACACAGACCUCCUUCACACACACACAAACUCACACAAACAUACACAUGCGCACACACGCACAGUCAGCACAACAUGUCGUGAAAGAUCUUUGGACUCGGUAAUGCUCACCCCAUGCCAUCUACUUUACCGUGAUGUAUAAGGCACAUGGGCAUCAUGUGACACUUAGUAGUGUGGCUCUCUGUCCGUGACUCUGCUAAAGUGGGGAUGUUGUGUAACCGAUGUUGUAUAAGGAUAUGAAGCCAUGCUUAAAGCUCUUGAUCUGGGACCCCUGGACAGUGUCUCCUCCACAUUCCAUGUCUAUAAGUAACAGUCCAUCGCUGGUGUGGACAGUGGCCACUGUUAUUUUGGUUUGACAGAGGAAAGAUGCUGUUAAGUGUGCUGGAUUAGGAACUCCCAGGUCCUAGAAUGGGAGGCUGGGAGUCUCUCUCUCUCUCUCUCUCUCUCUCUUUCUCUCUCUCUCUCUCUCUCUCUCUCUCUCUCUCUCGCUCUCUCUCUCGCUCUCUCUCUCUCUGUCUCUCUCUCUCUGUCCCUCGCUCACUUUCUCUCUCUCUCUCUCUCUCUCUCUCUCUCUCUCUCUCUCCUUAACUGGCCUCUUGUUCAGGGCUCCACAGGGAACCUGUCUGUAAAUCUGUUUAGGCUAAAUGUUUGGGCUCGGACCAGAUCUAUUCUCUUGGGCAUUGAAAGAGACGGCUGGGACUUCUCAGGAUUAAUUAAAUCUUCCCUCCACCCCAUUUGUUAUGUUUCGAGUCAUACAAGAAUGUAACCAUGAUAUUAAAAUGUUGACAGAUUUUCAUAUUGAUUCUGAUUCAGAGGUGAUUCUAGAUGGUUAUUUUAUUAAUCCUGCUGCUUAUUAACCAGUUAUUACCCUGACUUGACUUUGCGAUCAACUAGGAGAGUGGGGACUCAGACGCAGUACUGGUGGCCCACCCAGAAGAACAGUGCAGCAGCACACCAACCUGUGGAACCACGCGCCUGUGGAAGGCUUUGUGUGCUGCAGUUUUUGGCUACACGAACACGUCCCAUAUGUAAACGCUGCGUGUGUGCCAGGAGCUAUGUAUGCGGAGAGAUGGUUUUAUUUGCAGUGCCUGAGUGGUUUCCCAUGAGUCAAUUCUGCAGAUAGGUAUGGCCCUGAGAUUUGAUGAAGACUCGAUGACAGAAUUUAAUACCUUUUCGUUUGUAUUUUCAUAACAGUCAAUGCAUUAAAAAGUCCAAAGGGAUUGGGUCAGCCUCUCUCAAUCAAAAGCCAAGACUUAUCCAGACACACUUGGACCAAGCAGGCAUUCAAAUUCACCGUUCAAGGAUAGGAAAGCAGGAGGAGUAACCCAUGACUUUCAAACACAAUGUUGUUUGACACCGUUCCUCAGUUAGACUAUUAUACACGUUUGUAUUUCCUUCUUAGCGAGUGUAUGUGUGUUGAGAUAGGAGCUAUCCAUCAGAGUUUAUAGGUGUCUGGUGAUGUGGCCAGCCUGUGGUUUCUCCCACCCGUGUGCGUCUGAGUGCCACUGGUUCUUUUUAUAGUGUUUACAGGCCCAUGAACCACUGAGCGCUCAGGCUUUUAAAGGGACGUUUUGGAUGGGGGGGGUGGGGGUGGGGGGGGGGGGGGGGGUGGUGGUGCUCUGUAGGGGCCACUAAACACGUGCCUCUGUUUACUCUGCAGUUCGCUAGGUUUAAAAGCACUUUUUACGGUUUCUAUUUUUACAUUUGUUGCGCCGUGAACUCAAUCUAUUUUCUUGGGGAUUUGAAUAUUUCUUUUGCCCAUGGUCGUUUUUUAGUUGUUCUAGAGUCACUUUUGUCCAUGAGAGGUUGGUUUGUGUCAGUAGAUCAGGGUAUGAGGGGCCUACUAUCAUUAUUGUGGCAGUGCACUAGAAAUAGAAAUGUCUCAAAUGAGACUUCACCAGAAUUGGAGAAUCAUCGUAUGAAUCAGGCAUUCCAAUUCAACUGUAAAGAUUAAGGCUCUUCUUGCUCAGGACAGCUAUGCAAACUAAGCUUAAACCUUCACUAGCCGUAGGGAUGUCAUAUUUGCAAUUCAACAGCAGGGCUUGCACGACACAUUUAAAAUUCUCAAUAAACACACAGAUGUCUUGAAAGACACCAUGAAAAUCAAAUUAGAUUUAUUAUGUGAACAUAUUUUUUUCCACAGUCACAUUAUCUUUGAACAAAGUAGGCCAUGUGCAGACAAUUGGUUUUGCUUUCAUUCGAACCUAAUCAGCAUCCUUAGCAGCUGAAAAUCUGUUAUGACAUUGGGCUUAACGUUUCAAUCAAGUUUUCGCUCCCUCUCUCAUAAGCCUGCCCUUGGCUCACAUCUGGCUACCAUGUUUUGGCACUUUGGUAUGAGCUGAUGAAAUCCUGGAGGAUGAACUGACAUUCCUCGGCCUUAUGCUAAUUAGACGGCUUUACUUGAAUACAUAAGCAUGUAAUAAUGCCAUCUAGGUUGAAAAGGGAAUCCCACUAUCCAUUUUGUAUUCCGAAAUAAGGAACUCAUUUGUCGGUUUCCCCAUCUGGAACCGAAAGGAUUCCGUUGCAGUAAAAGUUGAACAAGACGCAACGUGCGUUUUAUGGGUGAUCUUGUUGAUGCCAACGCAUACCCCUUUUUAUAUACUUUUCAAUCAUGCGCGACUGAAAAAAAGAUUCCUGCCUCACUUUGGCGGUGUAAGCCCGUAAGCUGCAACAUGUUUUCUGAGCUGUGAUACGGACAGCGCUGGAGAGAGAGAGGCAGUCGGCGGCCGUCAAAGAGUUACGCCAUCAUCAAAUUAGCUUACAGCGGUUGAAGUCCAUCAGCGCCAUCUCCGUGAAAAAGAUGUGUUCUGUCAUUUUUGACAGGUCAUGUGUGUGCGUCCCUGUGUGUAUGUGUGUGUGUGCGUGUGUGUGCUAUAAUGGCCAGACUCUUGGUCACACAGGCGUUAAGAGUCUUCCACGUAUACUGGCUAGUGCUCGACUGAGUCAUCGGUCAAGGGGGCUAUAGGGGCCUUCGCCUCACCUAGAGCCUUUUUACACUCUGUCGAGUUCAUCUGUUAUGGAUGCGAAGAUAUGACUGUUGAAUAACACAUGGCCAGAGAACUAAUGUGGCGCGUGUGCGUGUGGGUGUGUAUGUGUAUGCGUGUCUGUCUGUGUAUGACUGGAUAAUUCAUCAAGUAUUUAGUCCUUUUAACAAUCAAUCCUAUUAAGCACCUGCAAAAUCAUGAGACCAGAUGUUUGUUGACGCAUGCUUUGGACUACGGGGGUGAAACAGUAAAAAUAACUGUUAACAAUGCUCCUUUGCUUGGGGCUGUAGGCUCGCAGUAUCUCAGCACAGCUGUGGUUGGUUGCAAGUCCUUCUGUAGGCUACUUUUGACCUGACUUUUGACUUUGACUUUGACUGGAGACCAGAACAUAUCAGAGAAGCAAAGAGAGUAGAGGGAGGAUGUCGUAGCUUGUCUGUCAUUUCUGCAUGCGAGGGCAUGAUAGUUGUGAUUUUGUAAUAACCCUGAUGAGUACAAGAACAUACGUCGGAGCUAACACCCUGAAUCACAUGGGAACAGACAGGGACAUGCUCCGGGUAUGACAGUAAUGUGACAUGACUGCUAUUUAAAUAUUCCCUGAAGCCCUUCUCCAGAAAAUCCUUACUAUAAUAUUAUUUUAUUCUUUGAACAUUGAAUCGACUGGAGGAUACAAAUCAGGGUUUGUAUCCAGGGUUUAUACAGGGUUCUUAAAUCCAUAGAUGAUAUUAUCAUGUUUAAUUUAUCAUAUCUAAUAUUAUUUUGAACGCUGUAUUCUGUUUGCCAACUCCCAAAACCUAUACAUUUUCAUUUGUCAUUUGUUUCUUUAAUUUUCUCCUCUUUUCACCUCUUGGCCCAACACUUCCUACUGUUUGUUUUGUUAGAGACAUGAUACUUUAACACAGGAUUACACAAACCAAUUUUAGCUUCAUGUUUGCAGUUGGGGAUUGGGUAAGGUUCACUCAGUUCCCUCCACAAUAUAUUGUAAAUAUGUUGACCAUAUGCAGUACUAUUUACUGUAUAUUACUGUAGUAUGUUCAACUGGUUAAUACAGUUGAACAUGCUACAUAGGAUUUGUUACAUCUGUUCAUUCUAUUUCAUUUUUUUCCAAUUUAUUUCACAAGUGCAUCCUCUUUUAUGCAUGCAUUUUCUCUAAGGCAUACACUCAAGUAUACGUAUGUAUCAAGAUGAACUCCAGAGCAUUCGUACAGGUCCUUGGCUGACGAAGAUGCCAGACAUUGGUAUUUAACAUGGGCCUGUGGCUGUGGACUUCUCUCAGCACUGUUAUACAACCAAGAGCCUUCAACAAGGUACCAGGCCACGAGGACACGUAGUAGGACAAACUAUACUUCACGCGCAUGCUAUGUUUUUUAAUGGAAUACCCCUGUGGGACACCAUGCUGGAUAAAAUGGUCAUAAAUUAAGCUGAGAUCCACAGAAGAAGACAUUUUACAUGGGGUGACUGUCUGAAGAUUUGCUAAAAUACUAGGUGUUCUUUGACGAUUUUGAUACUUCUGCGAACUGCAAAAGUACAUGAUUGCCAACGGCCUAACCUAACACCAAAUGUCCUUAUUGUAUUCUAUCAGAGCUAUCUACUUUACCACACACAGGGAUGCAUCCAUAAAGCAUAGCACAUAUAGCUUUCUUAAAAGUACAGUAGAGCCGUGCAGUAAACAACAUCCAUUAUUCACCAAACAUCUGCUGUGUUAAUGAUCAAUAUGAUUGAUUUGAGUUCAUUUUUCCCAGCAGCCAACUGUUGUUGCUGUGUUUGUACUAUAAAGCGAGCCUUCACCCAGGCUGUAGUUAUGGAUACAGCUCUGGGUCCUGCCAGAGUCGCGGUUAAAAAACUCCCUGUGGCAUUGGGAGGAAACCAAUAAGACCGAUAGCUUAUGGCCCGCCGCGUUGGCCAAACAAUGAAUUCCAAUGUGGAAAACCUAUUGGACGCGAAUACCGAUGCUUCUCUUUUUUUUUUUUCAUACCACAUCUCUUGUGUUAAGAUCUCCCCGGGGGAUUUUACACAGACAGUAAAACCAAACUGUAGUGAACACCAGCUCGUGGCGCCCGUCCAUGAAUCCUUCCCCACCAUUUACACAUUAUUUUCAUAUUGAACCAAAUGCAACCCCUCUCUCCCCCCCCCCCCACCCCCCAGUCUCUCCCUGCCCUCCCCAGACCGCGGCCGUGUCAUGUGGGUUUACCGGCUGCAUGUCGGCUGGGCUAACCGCCGCACCUCCGUAUUAAAUGGAUGCGUUUCGUCUUCAAGAGAAAACCUAUAAAAAGGGGAAGAGAUCGGGUUAAAGGGCCCGUAGUUUAAUCACCUUUGCGGUGGAUUAAUAGUUCGAAGCCACUUCAAAAUAGAUCUGUGACAUCACAAGUGGGCGUGUUCCUAUCAUUUCCGAAUACACUUAAUUGGAUCCCGUAAAAUUCCAGAAGACAUUUUCACUGGCUGAAAUUUAGAGGGAAACGUUUUCAAUUAGAUGAUCCUAGUUCCAUUCAGAUCACCUCACCCACCUCUGCUCACUCAGCAUCCUUUUGUUUCUUUGAUGCCCCUGGAACCCCUGAGGCUUGGUGACUUGCCUUUCAUUUCAAAGCUGGGUCUGACCGGAAUACAUGCUUGAUUCAGUUAGAUGUAUCUAUCCUUAUUUUCUACUCAUUAAGUCCUCACUUUAACAUACAUGAACAUCCUGUUCAUGCAUUGUUUUUUUUGUUGCACACACACACACACGCACACACAAUACAUGACAUGGAUUUAUGAUGAUGACAUGAUUUAUAUAUAUAUAUAUAUAUAUAUAUAUAUAUAUAUAUAUAUAUAGGAGGCCGUGGGAAAGGGUUGUAGUUUGGGUUUGAGAGCAGAUUUGAGCUAUCCAUGUCUCAUGUGUUUUUCAUGUCUUGUUGUGUGAGAUGUUUUUGUUUGUGUGUCUUUUUCAAGGACCCCCUCAAAUACAAGAUAGUUCAUCUCAACGGGUUAAACCUUCAAUGCAUUACAUUUGUUUAGCUAUUACAGUCGGUCCAAUACCUUUUCAUCAAAUCUUUACAGUUUUGUUGUGAUCCACUGAUCUAUGUUGGCCAAACAUCAAGUCAAAUCCCCUUAGAGACAGGGUACCUGGUUGUUAACUUGUGAGAAGGACGGAGAACAACACUGAAAAAGCUAUAGCUUGUGUAUAUUUGAAACACAAAUGGCCAUGUUUGCAAAAUUCCAGUUCUCUAUGUUCAAAGAAGGCAUGUGGGUUUUAUUUCAAAUAAAAAGUCAUUUUUGAGUACGCAGCAGAUCCCAGGGUAUACUGGUGUCUGUCUCCAAAAGACAGCUGCUUCCAAUUGAUAGUGGCAUGGCAGAGAUAUAAAGAAAUCCAUAGUUCUAAUAAACCUGUAGGUUCUGAUUCAUGUCCUCAUGUCCGUACAUUUCUGUUCUUAGAGAGGGUCACGUUUUGGAUCCAACCAUUUCCAAGAGAGGAGAGGAGAGAUACAUAAAACUGAGCCACAUAUGCGAAGGACAAUAUCAACAUGGCAACUUGAAAAUGAGAUGUCAACCCUUUAUUUCACAAAUCAAAUGCAACAUGUAAAACGCAUGGUACCUUUCUAGUCAAACUGUAUAUUUCUUUAGCGAUUGUAAUGCAAGCGAAAAGUGCUGUAAAUGUAGACUAAUAAAACGUAGUUUUAUUAGUCUACAUUUAUAAUAAUAACUAGUUUUAGUUAGUUAUUAUUCUAAUCAUAACCCGUGAUCUUUCUUUAAAAUUGUAGCGUUGUGCAGUACCCACCUCAUUUAAGGAUGCAGGAGUCUUCCAGAGUCUUUUAUGCAUAAUAAUUAUACUUAGAAUAAGAAGGUAGAUCGCCCUAAACUCCCACCAAGUACAAACACAUGUCACAGCUUAAUUGACCCCAGAGGUGUGAGCUAACUAGCGAACAUGCAGUCGUCACAGUAAGGCGUCAGUGCUGCUUCAGGCCGUGGCUGAUGUUUUGGUGAGAGCGAAGUCACAAUAAAACAACUCCAUGACAACCAACCAUGUGCAUAUCCCGAAACCCGACGUGUGAUGUUUGCCUUAAAGGAACAUCGCCUCUUCCAACCUUGUUCUCUUCCCAUGUACCUCUUCCCCCCCCCCCCCCCCCCCCCCUGUUAAUACCUAGCCCUCGGUCUCGGGUCUAGACUGUCGGAACAGCUAAUGGAAGGUGGCGCAGGUAAACACAACGUAUAAAAACACACAGUCGGCGUUAACACACCUGCUGCUGCGGUGUGUGUCUUUCAGGGACAUUUCCUCUGCUGGCAGCGGGGGGCUGCAGGAUGUAGCGGGCUGCACAGUCACUGUGGAAUGCUGUGUCAACAGAGAGGGUCCCCGCAGGGCACGGGGGUUCAGGGCGCUGCCCACUUUACCAACCACCUCUGCGGCUUUUGAAGACACGCCGGGCUACCGUAACGGCAUGACCAGAUUUUUUCGUUUUUGACGUAGCGCAUUUCAUGAGUUUUCACAGCUGCUUUUCGAAAAAAACGAUUUGGAUCGUCUGCUCCAUUUGCCUCUGCCCUUUUUUAAACAAAAUGUCAUGGGUAGUGAAACCAGAGGGGGAUCGGGGUGUACCGCGACCGUACAAAGAAUGAGGCCUUUUUGUUGAGUUAUUGUAGCCCCGAGCGAGGAGACGGCUUGGGUACAACGAGUACGCGGUUUGCGAAUGUCAGUAGCGCUCUGGAGAACGACGGCCUUUCAGCGUUUCAGGCCUCUCAGCCAAAGUCACUCACACUGACGUUUCUCAGGGAUCCCAAGCGCUAGUAGUAACGUCCUGCGGCGUGAAGUCCCUGAAAAGGCAACAAACAGACCGAUCCUAUUGUUUACCGAUGACUCAUCGCUUUUUGUGACAGUAGCCAAAGAGGAAGACACAUGUCGGGUGUCAUUAUGGGAUUAAAGAUGAUUACUUUGAGAUGGCUAACGGUAGGGCUGGGGAAUGACUGUCAGCGGAUAUGUAAACGUUACUGCGUGAUGACAUGUUAUGACUUGUGUGGAGGAGAUGUGAUAUUUGUUUAAUUCACCCAAAAGUGUUUUGGGUGAAUUCUUUUUGCAUUCGUGUACUCCCUCCUUCCUGUUUGGAACCGGCGGUAAGCACUUCCCUGGUGUGUUUUUUUUGCGAACGAAACCCGGAUCAGCUCUGUGUUGAUUUGAAAUGUGUUGACACAUGAUUUCUAACAUGUAUAGUUUAGGGGUCAACCUACGAUAAAUUGCAAACUUUGAAAUGACGAAGGAGGAAAGCUCUCUUCCCAUACAAGGGCGAAUGAUUUGGACUGCAGCUGCAGUCCUUCUGAACUUAAAGCCUUUAAGAAAAAAGGCCAAUUGGUCCGGAAAUAGCCGUGCUUUCUUUUGACAGCGGGAACUCGUUUUUUGCUCUUGAUUGUGUGCUCUCCGCUCUGAUUUGAGCCACGGCUGCACAGUUUGUAGCAAAGAACGCAGACGCUUUAAAGCAAUUUACUGCUGACCCUAAUCUGUGGAGGGCCCAGCCUCACCAUCCGCUACUCUUGUAAUUGGGACCAAUUUGGCCAUGAGUACUUGGCCUUCAUUUCCUCCGCAAAGCCCUUCACAAUCAAUCUUUUUUACUUCUGUGUUUUCUUCUUCUAUCCAGAAAUAGACUUGUGAUAAAUAGUACACUCCUACUGCACUCCACACAUGAUGAAGAACAGAGGCAUUUCCCUUCAACGCAUUUUAACAUGUUAUGAACAACAUGCAUGUGUGAACACUCUAAACCGGCUGCAUGUGCUCAUCACCUCGAGUUCACUUAGCGACAGACCCCUACAAUCCAUCGGACGUCCUGCAUGUGCAGAAAUCCUCAAAGGCCCCCUUCACCCGAUGUGGUUCUGAAAGACCUCAUGGAAUGCUCUGAGCACGGGCCGUGUGUUUGUCAAUGGUUAUCUUCCCUUGUGGUGAUUGUGCUCGGUCUGCUUGCCGCCUUUGCUGAGUGCAGUAGUUAGUUGGGGAGGGAUGGGGAGAGGGACUGGGGUGAGGUUGGUGAGAGUUGCAGGGUUUGUGGUACUAAUGCCUCCCUACCACAACACACUGUGUCUGCUCUGGGUCACAACAACAAGCCUCUCACGAUUUGACGAUAUUUAUAGACUGCAGGGAAUGCCGUGAAUUCUUCUUCUCACAUCUAUUUGUUUUCUAACCCCCCCGAGGAGGAACACUGUUAGUUGCCUGUGACACCAGAGAGAGAGAGAGAGAGAGAGAGAGAGAGAGAGAGAGAGAGAGAGAGAGAGAGAGAGAGAGAGAGAGAGAGAGAGAGAGGAGAGAGAGAGAGAGAGAGAGAGAGAGAGAGAGAGAGAGAGAGAGAGAGAGAGAGAGAGAGAGAGAGAGAGAGAGAGAGAGAGAGAGUUAUUGCGACACCGCCCAUGCAAGUCCAAAGUUCUUACUAUCUCUGGCGGAAGGUCAAUGCUUAUUGUUUGCUCUGCCUGCCUUGUUAAGAUAAGAGCGUGAGUGUGUCUGACUAAAUAUAGGCCACUGCGGUAUGGUGCAUUGUCUUCCAUUUGUCCCUACAAGGAAUGGACUUUAGAGGUCUUAAUCUGUUGUCUCUCUCCUUCUCUCUCUCUAUCUCUGUCUCUCUUUCCAUCUCUCUCUCUGUGUCUCUGUCUGUCUCCCUCUGCUGCAAUAACAGACAUACAUGGUAAAGUGCAGGACAGAGGUGUGUGAGGAGAUUGCUGGAGCACUUUCAUUCAGCCAUAUGAGAAGAUGAUGUCGAUGUCAGCGAGUGUCCUCGGAGCCGAGGCCACCUCUAGCAGAUGUCAAAGCUCAGGGAGAAUGGCUGGCUGGCUGGGGGAAACACUUGGUGAUAGAAGGGAUAUAUGAGAGUUUGUCGUUUGCCUCGUGUUUGCAGUAUGUGGCUGUGUGUGCUCUAGCACACACAGCCACAUGUCUAGCAGAAGUGCGCGUGGAGUGUGUGGAGUGCAGUAGGAGUGUACACACAUAUUAACCUCCGCUGUGUUUUGACUUCCUCCCUUUGAAUUCUGAUCUCACUGAUAAGGGCAAAAAAUGGAAAGCAACUUGUCUCAUGACACGCACAGACACAGAUUCACACACACACACACACACACACACACACACACACACACACACACACACACACACACACACACACACACACAGACACACAGGCGCACGCACACACACACACACACACACACACACA